UAUUUCAACAAGACGUGAGACCCUUUUAUAUAGACAGACACAAUCAGUGUAGGAAGGAAAGGAUUAAAACAGGUCCGUUAUGCCCUCAGACAUUUUGGGCUGCACGCGCAAUACAAUAGAUAUACAGUCUUUAUGGGAUAAUAUUUUGUAAGAGAUAUUUGAACUCGGAAUUGCUAGUAAAUUUUAUUGAAUAAGUAGAAUUGAAUGUGUCCCUGUUCUUUGUACACACCGCCCGUCGCUAUCUAAGAUGAUAUAUGCUGUGAAAUUAGUGCAAACUACUUGAACAAUAUGUAUUAGAUCUGAUAUAAGUCGUAACAUGGUUGCUGUUGGAGAACCAUUAGCAGGAUCAUAAUCAGGAAGUAUAAGUUUGUUUGUAUGUCAUUACCCACACAUGGGAUCAAUAGGAUACCAUAACGAUGAAGGUCGUAGUAGAAUACGAAAGUAUACUUACCGAAUUUAUAUUCUAGUAUAGAUUACCCUUUGAACUUAAGCAUAUCAUUAGAAGGAGGAAAAGAAACCUAAC
Molecule: ribosomal RNA, 523 nt
Filed under: Vairimorpha bombi
Lineage: Eukaryota; Fungi; Microsporidia; Nosematidae
Description: bacterial SSU rRNA
Rfam family: Microsporidia small subunit ribosomal RNA (bases 1-352)
Source: RNAcentral